Xenia sp. Carnegie-2017 is the source of this 205-nucleotide long non-coding RNA. RefSeq lists it as uncharacterized. The record is from RefSeq and is a predicted model, not a curated record. The transcript has 3 exons. Lineage: Eukaryota; Metazoa; Cnidaria; Anthozoa; Malacalcyonacea; Xeniidae.
UACGCUAACCAAUGAAUGCUCGCAAAUUGAUCAAUUUAAACCAAUCAAAAUCGGUAUAUGGACCCAAAUCCUGCGGAAAUUUUAAAGCACUCAAGUGUUAUAAUUUAAGGAAUACCCACGGAAUUUUUUGAAAGUGACACGUUAAUACGUUAGUCGCCCGACUUAGUUGACUAAGUUUAAAUCCGCCUCUGGGCUGAUGAGGAAG